RNAcentral lists this ribosomal RNA (332 nucleotides) under uncultured Pseudomonas sp. RNAcentral describes it as "bacterial SSU rRNA". It matches the Rfam family "Bacterial small subunit ribosomal RNA", at positions 1052 to 1382 of the family's 1533-position model. Lineage: Bacteria; Pseudomonadati; Pseudomonadota; Gammaproteobacteria; Pseudomonadales; Pseudomonadaceae. The record is from RNAcentral.
UCGUCAGCUCGUGUCGUGAGAUGUUGGGUUAAGUCCCGUAACGAGCGCAACCCUUGUCCUUAGUUACCAGCACGUUAUGGUGGGCACUCUAAGGAGACUGCCGGUGGACAAACCGGAGGAAGGUGGGGAUGACGUCAAGUCAUCAUGGCCCUUACGGCCUGGGCUACACACGUGCUACAAUGGUCGGUACAAAGGGUUGCCAAGCCGCGAGGUGGAGCUAAUCCCAUAAAACCGAUCGUAGUCCGGAUCGCAGUCUGCAACUCGACUGCGUGAAGUCGGAAUCGCUAGUAAUCGUGAAUCAGAAUGUCACGGUGAAUACGUUCCCGGGCCUU